GUAGGUGAACCUGCGGAAGGAUCAUUUCCGAAAAAACAAACAAAUACAAAUAACCAACCCCACACACACACAGAAUUGUGAAGGGGUGGGGGGGUGAGAGUGGAGUUUUACACUUUGCUCUUUCUCCUUCUCCUCUCUCUUUUUUGUUGCUGUUGUUGUUCAUGUGUACUUGAUAUGUUCUGUCAUAUCAUUUUAGUCCGAGUAUCCCUCCUUUUUUUUUACUCUCGAAGACUUCUUUUGUAAGUCGGAGAGAGGCCAUUGAAGAACCCCCACUUUUAAUCCUUGUCAUUCCUUUACCAAGAAAAAGAGGAUUGAUUUCGGAGAAAAAGCGAAAAAAUUAAAAGUUUUUAAAUUCUUUAUCGAAACAAACAAAAAAAUUAUACGACAACUUUUAACGGUGGAUCUCUUGGCUCGU
RNAcentral lists this unclassified non-coding RNA (415 nucleotides) under rhizosphere metagenome. RNAcentral's name for it is "partial ribosomal RNA internal transcribed spacer region". The record is from RNAcentral.